GUCUAUGGCCAUACCACCCUGAGAAUGACCAAUCUUGUCUGAUCUCAGGCCUGGUUAGCACUUGGAUAGGAGAGACCACUUGGGAAUACCAGGUGCUGUAGGCU
RNAcentral lists this ribosomal RNA (104 nucleotides) under Dipodomys ordii (Ord's kangaroo rat). The record is from RNAcentral. Lineage: Eukaryota; Metazoa; Chordata; Mammalia; Rodentia; Heteromyidae.